UUAAUUGAAGAGUUUGAUCAUGGCUCAGAUUGAACGCUGGCGGCAGGCCUAACACAUGCAAGUCGAGCGGAAACGACAACAUUGACCCUUCGGGUGAUUUGUUGGGCGUCGAGCGGCGGACGGGUGAGUAAUGCCUGGGAAAUUGCCCUGAUGUGGGGGAUAACUAUUGGAAACGAUAGCUAAUACCGCAUAACGUCUACGGACCAAAGAGGGGGACCUUCGGGCCUCUCGCUUCAGGAUAUGCCCAGGUGGGAUUAGCUAGUUGGUGAGGUAAUGGCUCACCAAGGCGAC
Molecule: ribosomal RNA, 291 nt
Filed under: Vibrio sp. UCD-FRSSP16_30
Lineage: Bacteria; Pseudomonadati; Pseudomonadota; Gammaproteobacteria; Vibrionales; Vibrionaceae
Description: partial 16S ribosomal RNA
Rfam family: Bacterial small subunit ribosomal RNA
Source: RNAcentral